This 505-nucleotide ribosomal RNA is filed under the name bacterium KWD-1-14. Its description in RNAcentral is "bacterial SSU rRNA". It matches the Rfam family "Bacterial small subunit ribosomal RNA", at positions 382 to 879 of the family's 1533-position model. RNAcentral also lists the same sequence under 1 other name. The record is from RNAcentral.
CCUGAUGCAGCCAUGCCGCGUGUAUGAAGAAGGCCUUCGGGUUGUAAAGUACUUUCAGUUGUGAGGAAGGGGGUAGCGUUAAUAGCGCUAUCUCUUGACGUUAGCAACAGAAGAAGCACCGGCUAACUCCGUGCCAGCAGCCGCGGUAAUACGGAGGGUGCGAGCGUUAAUCGGAAUUACUGGGCGUAAAGCGCAUGCAGGUGGUUCAUUAAGUCAGAUGUGAAAGCCCGGGGCUCAACCUCGGAACUGCAUUUGAAACUGGUGAACUAGAGUACUGUAGAGGGGGGUAGAAUUUCAGGUGUAGCGGUGAAAUGCGUAGAGAUCUGAAGGAAUACCAGUGGCGAAGGCGGCCCCCUGGACAGAUACUGACACUCAGAUGCGAAAGCGUGGGGAGCAAACAGGAUUAGAUACCCUGGUAGUCCACGCCGUAAACGAUGUCUACUUGGAGGUUGUGGCCUUGAGCCGUGGCUUUCGGAGCUAACGCGUUAAGUAGACCGCCUGGGGA